CCUGGCCAACCUCGGGCCACCCCCAGCAGGCAUAGCCAGUGGGGUCAGGGGGCAGAGGUCCAACGCAGGCAGACACUGCAGGCUGCAGGAGGAACGGGAAGUCACACCGCCCAGCCCCAUUCUCCCAUCAAGCGGGGGAGGGAGGCGACAGAAAGGGUGACCGGCCAGGAGGCGGAUGGAGGCGCGGAAGGAGUCGGGGUCCUUCAGCAGCGGCGAGAUGUCCCUGGGCACAAGAAGAGGCUGGUGACUCGGGCGGACGGGGCGUGCGGCCUGCGGGACCCCCGAGCCGCCCACGCACCCACGCCAGGCACCGAGGGUGGCGCCAACGCUCUGGCUGUGCCGCGCCGCCCGGGCCGCGGACGCACCUGAACAGCACGCCCGGGAUGGGGAAGUCGGGGAAGCUGCGGAUGCGCCGAGCCACCAGCUGCAGGUCGUGCUCCGCCAUGGCCGCAUGCUUCCUGCCUCAAGCAGGAGACCCCGAGGCCCGUCAACGGGGCGGGGGUCUCCGAGCUGUGGGAGACGGUGCGCUGGGCGCCCCGGACCCACCUCGGCUUGUCGCGAGGACGCGGCGUGCAGCGGGUGUGGGAUGCUUGGCCGGCCUUGCAGAGGCCUUGGGCUGGGACCAGCGAAUCGCCCUAGCCAGGGCCCGAGGAGCCGGGUCACCGCCUCAGCGCCUUCCCAGGCCAGAUGCCUGAGGCACAGCCUCCCCCAAACGUGGUCUCCUGUAAACCCCAAGUCGACAAAGUUAAAAUACGUUUUGUUCCUUUA
Sciurus carolinensis (gray squirrel) is the source of this 768-nucleotide long non-coding RNA. RefSeq lists it as uncharacterized. The record is from RefSeq and is a predicted model, not a curated record. The transcript has 3 exons. NCBI's taxonomy places the organism in Eukaryota, Metazoa, Chordata, Mammalia, Rodentia, Sciuridae.